Long non-coding RNA from Cyprinus carpio (common carp), 1340 nucleotides. RefSeq lists it as uncharacterized. The record is from RefSeq and is a predicted model, not a curated record. The transcript is spliced from 4 exons. NCBI's taxonomy places the organism in Eukaryota, Metazoa, Chordata, Actinopteri, Cypriniformes, Cyprinidae.
CAUACCGCAGAUAUUUUGUAUAACUUAAUGACGUUCGUGGUUGUGAAUAUGUUGAUAUGCAGACUGCCCGCCAUUUUGUGAACGCUGUAACACGAGGUGAUUGUGAAAUGCGUUUAAUUCGAUUCAAAUUGACUUCAGUUACAGGUUAUAGUGUUCAUUAUGAGUUUACUUCAAAUUUGUGUUUGGUUUAUUAAGUUAUGUAUACAUAUAAAGAUCGGGUGCACUUAUUUUGCAGAACUGUCUUAUCUGUCCAACGCCUUCUGCGGGGGGUCUGUAACAUCAAGAAAUAUAUAAUAUAUUAAUAUUUAUGUGCCCUGAAGGCUAUGCUGUGAGCAGCCACAAAUAUUCUUGUGCAGUAAAAACAGUUUACAUGUAUGCAAUUUGUCAUAUGAAUUGUAUAGAGAGAGGGAGGAUUGUUUUCUCUAUAUAUUAGUGAUGCUAAAUAAAAUGGCUGGUAUCUUCACAUUGUUUUACAUUUCUGUGUCUGCAUUGCUUUUGCAUGGUGACAUAUGAAUAGUUAAUACAAUAGCAAUUGUAUUUUUGCUUAAGCUCUUUUUGUGUUUGUUUCAGAUCAAUUGACAGCUUUGUCAUUAACACUGACAGACCUUGUCGAAAGAUUUAAAGAGGAGGGGAUUGAUGAAGAUAGUUUUCUUUUAGAUGAGGCUACCAUCAACCAGUUGAUCCUAAAACAGGAGGGGAAGCUGACAUUGCCCCUGGAUGGAUUAACACCAGAUGGUGUUGGGGAACUUGCCCUGAGACAGUUGCCAGCCUUGCUUCCACCUACAACUUACAAAGGUGUGAAAGUAGUUCGCCACACCAUUCAGGAAUGCAGCUUGGCCUUCAUCGACCAUAAGCCUCCUGGAAUAAACAUGGUGGAGUACCUCCAUGAGGCCAAGGCAUGCAAGACAUACCCUCACAUCCUGACGCUGGGAAAUGAUCAGAGUGCAUUUCAGGCCUUCGUCAUAAUAGCUGGACAGGCCCUGGAACUAGAAACACUGCUUUGGGCCAUUGAUGUCUGCUUCAAGGCAUUCUUUGUCUUUGACAUUGAAUACCCAAAGCAGUGUGAACAUGUGUGGGAAUUCAUACAGAAUGUGAUAUAUGAAAUCUAAAAUGGUUAAGUUUAUUCAAACUAGAAUACUUGCUUGCAAGUAGAGAUAAUGGCUCUUAAAAGCAGCAUUAAGGAAUUUGAAUUUGUUCACUAGAGCUGCUGACUGUUGGCCUGUUGAAUGUUCAGCCAGUUCAAUCGAAAUUGUUUUGCUUUGAAUGUUUUCCAACCUGAGUGAACUGCACCAGUUCCACUAUAUUGUCGAUAUUAAUGUAAUAAUUUUUUUCAAAGAUUC